RNAcentral lists this microRNA precursor (88 nucleotides) under Callithrix jacchus (white-tufted-ear marmoset). RNAcentral's name for it is "microRNA cja-mir-1323 precursor". The record is from miRBase by way of RNAcentral. Lineage: Eukaryota; Metazoa; Chordata; Mammalia; Primates; Cebidae.
AUUCACGCUGAGGUCCUCAAAACUGAGGGGCAUUUUCUGUGGUCUAAAAGGAAAAUGCACCCCAGUUUUGUGGUUCUCAAUUGUGAAU